GAACAGAAAGGUAACCAGAGGCAAUUCUACGGCAAUUGAAAGUGGCCUCUAUAUCUCGCCCGUAGGGAGAAAUGUUGCCGCAUGGAACACAAUAGAGCCCGCCAGGGGUAUUGGCUACAGCAUCGGAGAUGGUGUAGGUACUCUACCUAUGAAAGGAGCAAAGUGGCUGGGAACAGACAGGUGCAAUCGCCACGGCAAUUGAAGCCAGCCUGUGUAUCUCGCCCGGAAGGGAGAAAUAGUGCCGCAUGGAACACCAUAGAGCCAGCCAGGAGUAAUGGCUUCAGCAUCUGGAGUAGGUGUAGGUACUCUACCUAUGAAAAGGAGCAAGG
Molecule: long non-coding RNA, 329 nt
Organism: Bufo bufo (common toad)
Lineage: Eukaryota; Metazoa; Chordata; Amphibia; Anura; Bufonidae
Exons: 3
Source: RefSeq, a predicted model, not a curated record